AAAGGCAUAGCCAAAGCACCAGCAAGCUAUCCUCACCAACUUAUGCCUCAAACUCAAUAAAUAACUAGUUCAACACAUCGCCUUAGAAAAAGGCA
This 95-nucleotide ribosomal RNA is filed under the name Gastrotheca turnerorum. Its description in RNAcentral is "partial 16S ribosomal RNA". The record is from RNAcentral. Lineage: Eukaryota; Metazoa; Chordata; Amphibia; Anura; Hemiphractidae.